This 559-nucleotide ribosomal RNA is filed under the name uncultured Alphaproteobacteria bacterium. RNAcentral describes it as "bacterial SSU rRNA". It matches the Rfam family "Bacterial small subunit ribosomal RNA", at positions 338 to 916 of the family's 1533-position model. Lineage: Bacteria; Pseudomonadati; Pseudomonadota; Alphaproteobacteria. The record is from RNAcentral.
CCUACGGGAGGCAGCAGUGGGGAAUAUUGGACAAUGGGGGCAACCCUGAUCCAGCAAUGCCGCGUGUGUGAUGAAGGCCUUAGGGUUGUAAAGCACUUUCACUGGUGAAGAUGAUGACGGUAACCAGAGAAGAAGCCCCGGCUAACUUCGUGCCAGCAGCCGCGGUAAUACGAAGGGGGCGAGCGUUGUUCGGAAUUACUGGGCGUAAAGGGAGCGCAGGCGGUUCAUUAAGUUAGGCGUGAAAUCCCCGGGCUCAACCUGGGAACUGCGCUUAAUACUGAUGAACUAGAAAACAGGAGAGGGUAGUGGAAUUUCCAGUGUAGAGGUGAAAUUCGUAGAUAUUGGAAAGAACACCGGUGGCGAAAGCGGCUACCUGGCCUGAUUUUGACGCUGAGGCUCGAAAGCGUGGGGAGCAAACAGGAUUAGAUACCCUGGUAGUCCACGCCGUAAACGAUGACAGCUAGAUGUCGGGGGGUCGCCCCUCGGUGUCGCCGCUAACGCAUUAAGCUGUCCGCCUGGGAAGUACGGUCGCAAGGUUAAAACUCAAAGGAAUUGACGG